UUUUGCAUCUUCCGUGUCACCCCUGAACCAACCGAUGGGGUAAUUUAUGCCUGAUUAAUAGCGCAUUUCCCGACACCAUCCUCCAUCUGCAUCGAACACCCUCGCUGCUCCCUCGCGUCCCGCUCGGUGCGUCUAUUCAGCAUGCGAGUGAUUGCCUUGGCGUGACUUCCCGGGCAGCUUUCGAGACAAGACCCGAAUUGGAGAUGCUGUAGAGUGCUUACAAUCAGCUUCAGAGAGAAGGACACAUCCCAAGGACGCCAGAGUGAUGCACAGCUGUGUUCACCAGUUGGAUAGCUUCAAACUGUCGGCAGAGAGGAACACAACCCAAUAACAGAUAUCGCUCACUCAGCUGCAACAAGACCCACCGCAGCACGGAGAUGAGACAGAUAUGCAAUCCUGCAGCCGUCCAACAGGAAAUGUACUGUAAUGGCGUCUCUUCGAACGGGACCUCAGGCCCCGGCUGGGAAAACAGCUGAAGGUGUGGAAGCGAGUCACACUGUUCACAAUUACGAGGACAGGGAGGGAAACGCAGCGAUCGAGGGUUAAUUCAGCAGAGAUGCCGUUCACGACGUUAAGGCGAGAGAAUUCGACCAUGAAGGCUGUAUUGGAAAGAAAAUGGCUUAUUGACAAAAUACAGUGAAUUAAACAUUG
Long non-coding RNA from Paramormyrops kingsleyae, 651 nucleotides. RefSeq lists it as uncharacterized. The record is from RefSeq and is a predicted model, not a curated record. NCBI's taxonomy places the organism in Eukaryota, Metazoa, Chordata, Actinopteri, Osteoglossiformes, Mormyridae.